CGGGGAAUAUUGCACAAUGGGGGAAACCCUGAUGCAGCGACGCCGCGUGAACGAAUAAGGUAUUCGUAUCGUAAAGUUCUUUCCUAUGGGAAGAUAAUGACAGUACCAUAGAAGAAAGCUCCGGCUAAAUACGUGCCAGCAGCCGCGGUAAUACGUAUGGAGCGAGCGUUGUCCGGAAUUAUUGGGCGUAAAGGGUACGCAGGCGGUUUAAUAAGUCGAAUGUUAAAGAUCGGGGCUCAACCCCGUAAAGCAUUGGAAACUGAUAAACUUGAGUAGUGGAGAGGAAAGUGGAAUUCCUAGUGUAGUGGUGAAAUACGUAGAUAUUAGGAGGAAUACCAGUAGCGAAGGCGACUUUCUGGACACAAACUGACGCUGAGGUACGAAAGCGGGGGGAGCAAACAGG
Molecule: ribosomal RNA, 403 nt
Filed under: Actinomycetes bacterium
Lineage: Bacteria; Bacillati; Actinomycetota; Actinomycetes
Description: Actinobacteria bacterium partial 16S ribosomal RNA
Rfam family: Bacterial small subunit ribosomal RNA
Source: RNAcentral